GCGAUUCUCUAUCACCGCAGGUCAGGACGAUGAUCGACCCUCACUGGCAAUGAGGGGGUCAGGGGUUCGAGUCCCCUUACUUCGCG
Molecule: transfer RNA, 86 nt
Filed under: Amycolatopsis mediterranei
Lineage: Bacteria; Bacillati; Actinomycetota; Actinomycetes; Pseudonocardiales; Pseudonocardiaceae
Also listed under: 3 other names
Description: tRNA-Ala
Source: RNAcentral